AUCCAGCUGAGGAGUCCCAAAUUGGGUGAAACAUACGUCCUGGAU
This is a non-coding RNA of Schistosoma mansoni, 45 nucleotides long. The record is from Rfam. NCBI's taxonomy places the organism in Eukaryota, Metazoa, Platyhelminthes, Trematoda, Strigeidida, Schistosomatidae.